RNAcentral lists this long non-coding RNA (434 nucleotides) under Rattus norvegicus (Norway rat). RNAcentral's name for it is "long non-coding RNA NONRATT013222". Lineage: Eukaryota; Metazoa; Chordata; Mammalia; Rodentia; Muridae. The record is from RNAcentral.
CGGGAAGGAAGGGCUGUUAACUGUAUUUGCAGUCCUUAACCUGGGGCAGUUGGGACAUUCUUUGUUGGGUUUGGUUCUGGCUAGCGCACACUGAUGAACAUGCUACCUCUUAACAUCCAGGUUACCUCUGGAACCUGCAGGUGAAACUUCAGCCCAUAGUGAAUCUCUUGCCAGAUAAAGGAAGACUGAUGGACUUUCUCCUCCAGAGGAAGGAGUGUAAAGCCGUCGUUCUGUCUGUCUGUUCACAGAUGCUGAGUGAGUCAGACAGAGCCACGCUGCCUGUGAUAGCCACUGUUUUCGAUAAACUCAACCAUGAGUACAAGAAGUACUUGGAUGCUGAACAGAGCUACACAAUGGUAAGACAGACUGUAUUGGAGAGUCCUGCAGUGUGAUGUGGUCAUACAGCGUAACAGCUGAGGGCACCGUGACAGUGG